GCGGAUGAAGGGAGCUCGCUCCUGGAUCAGCGGCGGACGGGUGAGUCAUGCCUAGGAAUGUGCCUGGUAGUGGGGAUAACGUCCGGAAACGGGCGCUAAUACCGCAUACGUCCUGAGGGAGAAAGUCGGGGAUCUUCGGACCUCACGCUAUCAGAUGAGCCUAGGUCGGAUUAGCUAGUUGGUGGGGUAAAGGCCUACCAAGGCGACGAUCCGUAACUGGUCUGAGAGGAUGAUCAGUCACACUGGAACUGAGACACGGUCCAGACUCCUACGGGAGGCAGCAGUGGGGAAUAUUGGACAAUGGGCGAAAGCCUGAUCCAGCCAUGCCGCGUGUGUGAAGAAGGUCUUCGGAUUGUAAAGCACUUUAAGUUGGGAGGAAGGGCAGUAAGUUAAUACCUUGCUGUUUUGACGUUACCAACAGAAUAAGCACCGGCUAACUUCGUGCCAGCAGCCGCGGUAAUACGAAGGGUGCAAGCGUUAAUCGGAAUUACUGGGCGUAAAGCGCGCGUAGGUGGUUCAGCAAGUUGGAUGUGAAAUCCCCGGGCUCAACCUGGGAACUGCAUCCAAAACUACUGAGCUAGAGUACGGUAGAGGGUGGUGGAAUUUCCUGUGUAGCGGUGAAAUGCGUAGAUAUAGGAAGGAACACCAGUGGCGAAGGCGACCACCUGGACUGAUACUGACACUGAGGUGCGAAAGCGUGGGGAGCAAACAGGAUUAGAUACCCUGGUAGUCCACGCCGUAAACGAUGUCGACUAGCCGUUGGGAUCCUUGAGAUCUUAGUGGCGCAGCUAACGCGAUAAGUCGACCGCCUGGGGAGUACGGCCGCAAGGUUAAACUCAAAUGAAUUGACGGGCCCGCACAAGCGGUGGAGCAUGUGGUUUAAUU
Molecule: ribosomal RNA, 885 nt
Filed under: Pseudomonas aeruginosa
Lineage: Bacteria; Pseudomonadati; Pseudomonadota; Gammaproteobacteria; Pseudomonadales; Pseudomonadaceae
Description: bacterial SSU rRNA
Rfam family: Bacterial small subunit ribosomal RNA
Source: RNAcentral